AGAGUUUGAUCCUGGCUCAGGACGAACGCUGGCGGCGUGCUUAACACAUGCAAGUCGAACGAGGUCCAUCCUUCGGGAGAAGACCUAGUGGCGAACGGGUGAGUAACACGUGAGCAACCUGCCCCGAAGACCGGGAUAACAGCGGGAAACCGCUGCUAAUACCGGAUGUCCCCACCGGACCGCAUGAUCUGGUGAGGAAA
RNAcentral lists this ribosomal RNA (200 nucleotides) under uncultured bacterium. RNAcentral describes it as "partial 16S ribosomal RNA". It matches the Rfam family "Bacterial small subunit ribosomal RNA", at positions 8 to 205 of the family's 1533-position model. The record is from RNAcentral.